GUACGGAAGGCAGCAGUCGAGAAUCAUUCACAAUGGGCGAAAGCCUGAUGGUGUGACGCCGCGUGGAGGAUGACGGUCUUCGGAUUGUAAACUCCUGUCAUGUGAGAGUAAGAACCGGGGAGUAACUGCCUGCGGUUUUGAGAGUAUCACAAGAGGAAGAGGCGGCUAACUCUGUGCCAGCAGCCGCGGUAAUACAGAGGCCUCAAGCGUUGUUCGGAAUCACUGGGCGUAAAGGGUGCGUAGGCGGCGCGGAAAGUCAGGGGUGAAAUCCCGGAGCUCAACUCCGGAACUGCCUUUGAUACUCCCGCGCUUGAGAACUGGAGGGGACAUCGGAAUUCACGGUGGAGCAGUGAAAUGCGUGGAUAUCGUGAGGAACACUAGUGGCGAAGGCGGAUGUCUGGACAGUAUCUGACGCUGAGGCACGAAGGCCAGGGGAGCGAACGGGAUUAGAUACCCUGGUAGUCCG
RNAcentral lists this ribosomal RNA (466 nucleotides) under uncultured bacterium. RNAcentral describes it as "bacterial SSU rRNA". It matches the Rfam family "Bacterial small subunit ribosomal RNA", at positions 339 to 797 of the family's 1533-position model. The record is from RNAcentral.